Molecule: long non-coding RNA, 308 nt
Organism: Amphiprion ocellaris (clown anemonefish)
Lineage: Eukaryota; Metazoa; Chordata; Actinopteri; Pomacentridae
Source: Ensembl
UCUUCACCUGCAAGUGAAUAUCACGCUACCCAAAUAUUUGGAUUGUGCUGGGAUUAUUUUCCGAACUUUUUUCUGCUAUCAAACGUCUGUUAUUUGUUCUUCAAGAAGAUUCAAAGAUCUCUGGAACACUCGAGAGAAAAACUAAAGACUUGGAUAAAGUGCAAGUGACUGUUCAUCAGUGGACAAAGUAUCAAACAAAAUGGGGAACAAGACGUCAUCAGAUGAUCAGGGAGAACAGAGAUGCACUGAUCUGGACGUGCCUCUCUUGACACCAGACAUCUUCAACACCGUGAUCACCAUGUUCCAGA